AGAACCCACCUGGCUUCCUAAGGGGCAAAAGUACAUGUUGUUUCUAUUAGUUGACCUUUGUUUCAUAUUUGCCCUAUAUUCUAAAGCAGGAUAUGCCACUGCCUCAAUUUCACAGGCAAGGGGCUAUAAAUAUACAGCCAAGUCUUGUGUUAGAUUUUUUUAGAGAGAGAGUGAGCAGUGGACUUACAGACCGUAGAUUCCAUACGGCAUCUUCUGCAAGGAGAAGGGCCUUUGACUUCUGCUGGUGCCAUUUGUCCCUGUUUCCAUGACAACAUUGAUCAGGAAAAACUGAGCUUGUGGCAAAGAUGCUGAAUUGGAGCAGCUUCUGAGUUGGAGUGAACAAGGAGGCCUGAAGGACUGAGAAAAUGAGACAAUAACGUCACGUCUCCCUCGUAAGCACCCCUCUCUGGCCGCAUUUAGGAAGUGCUGCAACAACAUCAUCUCUCUUGCUCUGUGGUUUCCUUUCAGCUUCCUGAGAGCUUGGAAGGAAGGAGCACCCUGCCCAUAUGUGGAGAAAUGUAUACCACCCUAAGUACUCAAAAGCAUGAAGAUAAAAUUAUGCAAUUGUCAACAGAACACGUUCUGCAAAAUAUGUGAGUGUUGUUUUUUUUAAGGAUCUGGAAUAUUGGUUCCAGUUCUCUCAACAUCAAUACUGAGGCAGGGAGCUAUUGUAAAUGUUAAAAAAAAUGCUAAAUUGGACAAUUGACACUACCUCAGGUUUUGUGGAUCUUUGAAGUGGAUCACUGUGGCGCAAUCCAUAACAAAAAAAUUUUUGUCCUCCCACCGCAUGCCUUAGAAGCAAAGUCAGAGCUGUUCUCAGGAAUGCGAUUUGGAAAGCUGUUGAAUGGGAGGGGAAUUUUUUUUUUUUACUUUUGAAAUUGAGUUUCUGAAUGUUGCUGGAGUAUUCAGAAGCAAUCAGUCUGCAUAGCCUACAAUAAUUCUAUAGUGUAUCUAGAACAUUAUUGAAUGCUUUCUCUCAAUCAGGUCCAGCUAUUAGGGAGAUGAAGGAGGCUUCCUCAGGCAGCAGCUUCUGGUCCAGUUAAAGCCCAUAAGUUUAGUGGUUGAAUGUAUUAUGAUACUUUUAUAGCUGGGCUGGGGAUUUUAUUCUGAGCUGCACAGGCCGAAAUGCCUUAGCCUGCCUCUGCUAGAGAUGAGCUCAAGCAAAAUAUUCCUGCAUUGCAGGAGGCUGGACUAGAUGACCCCUGGGGUUCCUUCCAACUCUACAAUUCUAGGAUUCUGUGCCAGAAAGGCAAAUACGAUACAUAAACUGCAGAAUCAAAGCAGCUGCAAAUUUGCUGGUUUCAUCUCCCCUUAGUUUUAACAAUCUUUGAUUAAUCAUCCUUUAUCUCUUUUAUGGUGGCCCCAAUGCCAAAGGAAUGACAAAAUUAGGACUACCAAAAUUGCACAACACGGGGAGCAACCUUUUGAGUUUUCCAGGGGCAAAAAAUAAUUAUUAUUAAUGAAAAUGGAUUCAUGCUAAAUCAGAUGCUGAGACCAUUUUAAUAGUAUCAGUUCCGUAAUAGCAAUCCCUUAGUGCUCAGGAACUGUGGGACCACUGGCCCGGCCUAAUUGUGGAACGUGUUAAUUUCUUCCCGGCUUUUUCUCUGAUUCUCUCCCUCUCCCCU
Long non-coding RNA from Podarcis muralis (Common wall lizard), 1625 nucleotides. NCBI's taxonomy places the organism in Eukaryota, Metazoa, Chordata, Lepidosauria, Squamata, Lacertidae. The record is from Ensembl.